GCACUGCUGACGAGUCCCAAAAAGGACAAAACAGCUGUCCAGUGC
RNAcentral lists this non-coding RNA (45 nucleotides) under Echinostoma caproni. Lineage: Eukaryota; Metazoa; Platyhelminthes; Trematoda; Plagiorchiida; Echinostomatidae. The record is from RNAcentral.